UACGAAGGGGGCUAGCGUUGUUCGGAAUCACUGGGCGUAAAGGGCGCGUAGGCGGCUGUUCAAGUCGGGGGUGAAAUCCCGUGGUUCAACCACGGAAUGGCCUUCGAUACUGGACGGCUCGAGACCGGAAGAGGUGAGUGGAACUGCGAGUGUAGAGGUGAAAUUCGUAGAUAUUCGCAAGAACACCAGUGGCGAAGGCGGCUCACUGGUCCGGUUCUGACGCUGAGGCGCGAAAGCGUGGGGAGCAAACGGG
RNAcentral lists this ribosomal RNA (253 nucleotides) under uncultured bacterium. Its description in RNAcentral is "partial 16S ribosomal RNA". It matches the Rfam family "Bacterial small subunit ribosomal RNA", at positions 524 to 776 of the family's 1533-position model. The record is from RNAcentral.